Molecule: ribosomal RNA, 465 nt
Filed under: uncultured ammonia-oxidizing bacterium
Lineage: Bacteria
Description: bacterial SSU rRNA
Rfam family: Bacterial small subunit ribosomal RNA
Source: RNAcentral
GGAGGAAAGUAGGGGAUCGCAAGACCUUGCGCUUUUAGAGCGGCCGAUGCCUGAUUAGCUAGUUGGUGAGGUAAAGGCUUACCAAGGCUUCGAUCAGUAGCUGGUCUGAGAGGACGACCAGCCACACUGGGACUGAGACACGGCCCAGACUCCUACGGGAGGCAGCAGUGGGGAAUUUUGGACAAUGGGGGAAACCCUGAUCCAGCCAUGCCGCGUGAGUGAAGAAGGCCUUCGGGUUGUAAAGCUCUUUCAGCCGGAACGAAACGGUCACGGCUAAUACCUGUGAUCACUGACGGUACCGGAAGAAGAAGCACCGGCUAACUACGUGCCAGCAGCCGCGGUAAUACGUAGGGUGCGAGCGUUAAUCGGAAUUACUGGGCGUAAAGCGUGCGCAGGCGGUUUUGUAAGUCAGAUGUGAAAUCCCCGGGCUUAACCUGGGAACUGCGUUUGAAACUACAAAGCUAG